CCUACGGGUGGCUGCAGUGGGGAAUAUUGGACAAUGGGCGAAAGCCUGAUCCAGCCAUGCCGCGUGUGUGAAGAAGGCCUUCGGGUUGUAAAGCACUUUCAGUGGGGAAGAAAGCCUUGGGGCUAAUACCCUCGAGGAAGGACAUCACCCACAGAAGAAGCACCGGCUAACUCCGUGCCAGCAGCCGCGGUAAUACGGAGGGUGCGAGCGUUAAUCGGAAUUACUGGGCGUAAAGCGCGCGUAGGCGGUCUGAUAAGCCGGUUGUGAAAGCCCCGGGCUUAACCUGGGAACGGCAUCCGGAACUGUCAGGCUAGAGUGCAGGAGAGGAAGGUAGAAUUCCCGGUGUAGCGGUGAAAUGCGUAGAGAUCGGGAGGAAUACCAGUGGCGAAGGCGGCCUUCUGGACUGACACUGACGCUGAGGUGCGAAAGCGUGGGGAGCAAACAGGAUUAGAUACCCCAGUAGUC
RNAcentral lists this ribosomal RNA (465 nucleotides) under Vreelandella stevensii. Its description in RNAcentral is "partial 16S ribosomal RNA". It matches the Rfam family "Bacterial small subunit ribosomal RNA", at positions 338 to 795 of the family's 1533-position model. The record is from RNAcentral. Lineage: Bacteria; Pseudomonadati; Pseudomonadota; Gammaproteobacteria; Oceanospirillales; Halomonadaceae.